RNAcentral lists this ribosomal RNA (164 nucleotides) under Apostates rapae. RNAcentral describes it as "5.8S subunit". It matches the Rfam family "5.8S ribosomal RNA". From Rfam's summary of the family: 5.8S ribosomal RNA (5.8S rRNA) is a component of the large subunit of the eukaryotic ribosome. It is transcribed by RNA polymerase I as part of the 45S precursor that also contains 18S and 28S rRNA. Functionally, it is thought that 5.8S rRNA may be involved in ribosome translocation. RNAcentral also lists the same sequence under 5 other names. The record is from RNAcentral. Lineage: Eukaryota; Viridiplantae; Streptophyta; Magnoliopsida; Asterales; Asteraceae.
AAAACGACUCUCGGCAACGGAUAUCUCGGCUCACGCAUCGAUGAAGAACGUAGCAAAAUGCGAUACUUGGUGUGAAUUGCAGAAUCCCGUGAACCAUCGAGUUUUUGAACGCAAGUUGCGCCCGAAGCCAUUUGGUUGAGGGCACGUCUGCCUGGGCGUCACGC